AGAGCUUAGCUAAUUGGUGAGCAUUGAUCCCUGCAAUGUGUUGUUCACAGUGGCUAAGUUCAGU
Molecule: microRNA precursor, 64 nt
Organism: Cyprinodon variegatus (sheepshead minnow)
Lineage: Eukaryota; Metazoa; Chordata; Actinopteri; Cyprinodontiformes; Cyprinodontidae
Source: Ensembl